Molecule: ribosomal RNA, 467 nt
Filed under: uncultured bacterium
Lineage: Bacteria
Description: partial 16S ribosomal RNA
Rfam family: Bacterial small subunit ribosomal RNA
Source: RNAcentral
GACGAACGCUGGCGGCGUGCUUAACACAUGCAAGUCGAACGGAAAGGCCUCUUUCGGGGGGUACUCGAGUGGCGAACGGGUGAGUAACACGUGAGUAACCUGCCCUUGACUUUGGGAUAACUUCAGGAAACUGGGGCUAAUACCGGAUAGGAGCUCCUGCUGCAUGGUGGGGGUUGGAAAGUUUCGGCGGUUGGGGAUGGACUCGCGGCUUAUCAGCUUGUUGGUGGGGUAGUGGCUUACCCAGGCUUUGACGGGUAGCCGGCCUGAGAGGGUGACCGGCCACAUUGGGACUGAGAUACGGCCCAGACUCCUACGGGAGGCAGCAGUGGGGAAUAUUGCACAAUGGGUGGAAGCCUGAUGCAGCAACGCCGUGGGCGGGAUGACGGCCUUCGGGUUGUAAACCGCUUUCGCUCAUGACGAAGCUUUGUGUGACGGUAGUGGGUAAAGAAGCACCGGCUAACUACGUG